Long non-coding RNA from Lepidothrix coronata (blue-crowned manakin), 260 nucleotides. RefSeq lists it as uncharacterized. The transcript is spliced from 3 exons. NCBI's taxonomy places the organism in Eukaryota, Metazoa, Chordata, Aves, Passeriformes, Pipridae. The record is from RefSeq and is a predicted model, not a curated record.
GGAAAACUGGAAGUUAAGGCAGCGUCAGAGUAGGUCAGAUCAAGCAGUAAAGGCUACCAGCAAAUGAUUUCAAAUUGAAGAGUUGGGAAACCUUAUACCAAGUGUCUACGGAAGGCAUCGGACUUGCAAGCUCUUGUCCUGCUGGGGGACUUCAACCACCCUGACAUCUGCUGGGAAAGUAGUAUAGCAACCUGUAUAGAUCUGAAGAAACUGCUAAGAAUAGAGGAAGAAAAGAAGUUGGAGUAGAGAUGAGCUGGAAG